CGGUGUCAAACGCUUUUUUCCCGGCUCCCAUGGGAUGCAGUUACGAUUCCUGGCUUCUCGCCCUUUCUGCUUUUGUUCAUCCGCGCAGCCUCCACAUGCCAUGUUUACAAAGACUUGGAGUGACAAUUCACGGAGUUGGGCGCUCCCUGCGGUGCGAUCCAGCUUCUGUUGGUGCCACCAUACAUUGUGCUGUGUCAGAUGGUGGCAUGGAGGCAGCCAGGGCUCGAAUCCGGGACCUAUGCCUUUGGAAGCUGAAGCAAAUUCCCCAGGUGCUUAGGGGAUGGCUUCUGACAUUUGGCAAAGAGCUGAGUCAGGGUAAAAUAAUGGAAGCUUUGAAGCGAUGUUAACCACAUGCUAGGCAGCAUUCUAAACCUUGAGAUUUAUCAGGUUAGUUGUCCAUUGCCCUGUAACUUAUUCUCCCAAAACUUAAGCAACAAGUAUUCAACACUAUUAUUUUCUUUUUUGCAUCUCAUACCACUUUUGUGGGUCAGGUCCCUGAGGGCAGCUUGGGUGGUGGUUGUGGCUCAGGGUCUCUCAUAAGGUUGCAGACGAGCUUUCAGCUGAAGCUGCAUCAUCUGAAGGCUCGUCUGGGCCCAUUUCUAAGCUCCACCUUCCUGUGCUUGUCUCAUUUGUGCUGGUUGCUGGCAGGAACCUGCAGUUCCUUGCCAUGGAGACCCCAGAUCCUUGCCAUUUCAGAGUGCUGCUCAAGCAUCCUUAUGACAUAGCAGCUGGCUUCUCCUAUAGUGAGCCCUCCAAGAGAACAAGCCAGAAGUUGCAAUGUCUUUUAUGACCUGGACUUGAAGUCACACUCUGUCGUGUUUGAAAAUACUACUGGUAGCACAGUUCAGCCUUAUCCAGUGUGGGAGGGGACUACACACUCAUGGACAGAGAUACUAGGAGGUGAGGAUCACUAGAGCUAUUCUGGAGGCUGGCUUUCCAUGUAUUAACUCAUUUAAACCCUGAAAUGUGCCUGGAGAGGCUUAGUUAGAAGAGACUGAGGUGAAGAAACUGGGGCUGUAUGUGGGAGACCCAGAGUUCAGAGGUCCUAGAGGCAGCACUCCACACCAGCACGUGCAGGGUGCAUGUCAUGCCCCCUGGUCCAGCGGCAACGAUGUCUGCAGUCAAGGGUGGUUUGUGAAUUGUUCCUGGCUAUGUGGCUUCUGAGCUGAAAUCUUCAGCCCUGUUGGAGAUUCUGGGGGCUACCAAAUAUAAUUUGCUUGAAUAUAGUAGUUGAAGAGGAUUCUAUUAUCUGCAGUGAAGGUCUGCAAUGACUGUUACAAAUGGUCCCAAAUGCAAGGGACAUAUUAUUCUUGUAGGCUGAAUAUAAUGAGUAUGAAAGCCAUCAGCUUAAUGUAAUGGUCUGAAUGCCACAUCAUUUUAGGGUUUAUUAGCAUAAACAUAAUGUUUUACAAUAAAAGAGGUGGGAGUGUGUUUCUACUCUGUACUAGUCAGAAGACAGCAGGAAUAUUGUGCCUGGAGGCUAUUUUUUAAAAAUGGGGACAGUGACAAAUUGGAGCAUGCCCAGAGGACAGAGGCCAAGAUGGUGGGGGAAACACAAACCAGAUGCCCUGAGCCUAGGGAUGUUUUCCCUGGAGAAGAGAAGACACUCAGGGGACCAUGGAUGCUGUUUUCACAUAUGUGUGGAAUUCUCAUGGUGCAGAGGAUCAGACAGAAUUAGAUUCAAAUCCUGGUCAGUUCCUCUUUGUGGCUGUGGACAAGGUCCCAAUUUCUCAAAGUCCUUUAUGAUAACACCUGGCAUAUGGCAAAUGAUUAGUAAGCAUGAGUCCCUUUCCUCUGUACCCUCAGUACCAAUAAGGGAGUAAGAAGCAGAUUUACACUUGGUAUGAAUAUGGAAUAUAGGCAGUGAGCCUUUAGAGAAAUCCAAGCACAGACUGGACAACCCACUUGACUGCCCACCCUCAUGGAACCCUUCUGGAAGGCUGAAAUUCAAGAGCAUUCCAUGCUCACUGCUGAAAAAGUUAAGAGAUUCAGAAAAGCCACAUGACCACUGCAUGACUGGGGACAAGCCUCAUGGGGAAAUGAGCCUCAGUUUCUACAAAAUGUCAAAGAGGAAUCAAUUAUGUAUCCUGAGUGCACAGUUUCUAUGCAUAGAUUUGUUCAUCACAGCAUGGCUUAUGCUCUUGAGAAAUUAGAAAGUAACUGCAUGUCCAUCCAUAGGGGAUCACUUAAAUAAAUUUGGCAUAUCCAUACAAGGUCCAUUAAAAAGUAUGAUGUCAAUCUCCAUUUGUUAAGUUAGAAACUUCAUGGCUUACCAUGGAAUGAUACAAGUAGUAUUACCAUGGAUGUAAUGCUUAUAUAUUCUGCUCUCCACUCUUUUCCAUCCUGCUCUGUGCCCAAGGGUUUUGGCUUCUAUGGACUGCUGUUGACGGGCUUUUCUGCCUUCUAACUCUGUCUGGGUUGGCCAGUGGGAGGCACUGGCAGUUGGAGAGCCGGGGUAGAGUGAGAUCAAGAUAUUUAUUCCUCUGGUUCCAUCUCUGCAGGUUUGCAGAGUUGGCUGUGUCUCUCCUGGAAGGUAUAGUUCCUGAUAAGCAACCCUCUCCAUACGGCUCUAGUUUAUAGUCACCACUCCCUCCUCAUGACCUUAAAAUCUGGGGGUGAUAAUGGCUCCCCUCUUGCUGGUCCUGGUGCACUACAUUAUUCCUUCCAGGUUUUCCUCACCUCUGCUCAGACCAGUGAAAACAGUCUUUUUAUUAAACUUUCUUUGAUUACUUACCGGAAUGUUCCAUCUGUUUCUAUCAAGAGCCUAAGACAAAAAUAUAAUCCAACUUCGGUAAAAAUCUGUCCAUCUGUAAUCCAAUAAGGGAAGUCCGGACAGAUGUCCAUGAAAGCAUCGUUGUCUCAGUGUGGUGAGAUUUUUUUCUUCUUUAGGUUUUCCUGAAAAUUUUAAACUUUUCUACAAUAAGCAGGCAUUGUCUUUGAUUCAAGGUAAACAAACAAGCAAAUAAAACAGUUGUAAAGGUCAGGUGACAGCAGGACAUGAGAAGUGCUUUGUAUAUUGGGAGCUGCUGUUCAAACUUGAGGUCCUAAUGAGUGAGCCAACUGGUGAAGGAUUUCUAGGAUAUUUGUAUUGAGACCUGAUUUCCUCAAAGGAGACUGAUUUCCCUCUCCAGCGAAGGACUCAGAUGUAAAUGGACCAGCCCUGCAUCCAGGGCUUUCUUCAUUCUGGAGCAUCUCAGCAAACAGCCAAGCUCAGAGCAGCUCUUCUCUGCUCCCUCUGCCCUCCAGUCAGCCACCCACCAGCCUCUCU
Molecule: long non-coding RNA, 3268 nt
Organism: Manis pentadactyla (Chinese pangolin)
Lineage: Eukaryota; Metazoa; Chordata; Mammalia; Pholidota; Manidae
Exons: 3
Source: RefSeq, a predicted model, not a curated record